This 253-nucleotide ribosomal RNA is filed under the name uncultured bacterium. RNAcentral describes it as "partial 16S ribosomal RNA". It matches the Rfam family "Bacterial small subunit ribosomal RNA", at positions 524 to 776 of the family's 1533-position model. The record is from RNAcentral.
UACGGAGGGUGCAAGCGUUAUCCGGAUUCACUGGGUUUAAAGGGUGCGUAGGCGGACAGGUAAGUCAGUGGUGAAAUCUCCGAGCUUAACUCGGAAACUGCCUUUGAUACUCUCUGUCUUGAAUAUGGUGGAGGUAAGCGGAAUAUGUCAUGUAGCGAUGAAAUGCUUAGAGAUGACAUAGAACACCUAUUGCGAAGGCAGCUUACUACGCCUAUAUUGACGCUGAGGCACGAAAGCGUGGGGAUCAAACAGG